CCAGCAAAAAAAAGUAUACUAAAAUUUGUGAUAUUUUUGUUUACUAUAUGGAUCUAAAUAUGUGGAGCUGAAAAACAUUUGUUUUGUAAUUUUUAGAUUUUUCUAUGAAUUACUAUAUAUUUAUUAAUUUUUAUAGGAGAUUUUGCAUUAGGAACCCUAGAAAAAUUUCUAUUCUUUUUUCUUCCUCUUCUAGAAGUCUAUGUACGGGCUGAUGCGGCUGGUUAGAUUGGCUGAUAAAUUUGCACUUAGAUCCCCUGUACUUUCUUUAUUUUUAAUAUACUCUAGUGUGUAGGAGAUUUUGUAUUGGGAACCUAGAAAAGUUUUUAUUCUUUUUUUUUCUCCUCUACAAGUACCGGAAGCGGACAUCGGAUAGGGAGGCAGAAAAAGAAUUGGCAAACUGAAAUUUUCUCCUUUUAUAAAUAGGUAAUAGAUU
RNAcentral lists this long non-coding RNA (433 nucleotides) under Sorghum bicolor (sorghum). RNAcentral's name for it is "long non-coding RNA (SBIC_LNC001933)". Lineage: Eukaryota; Viridiplantae; Streptophyta; Magnoliopsida; Poales; Poaceae. The record is from RNAcentral.